This 1473-nucleotide long non-coding RNA is filed under the name Brassica rapa (field mustard). Its description in RNAcentral is "long non-coding RNA (BRAP_LNC000314)". Lineage: Eukaryota; Viridiplantae; Streptophyta; Magnoliopsida; Brassicales; Brassicaceae. The record is from RNAcentral.
CUCAAAUCAAGUGUUCUUUUUAUCGUCUCUCUCAUUUGCAGUAUUUUUUACUAAAAUAAGUUUAUAAUUUCGCACAUGCAUGCAUUGUUUGUUUAAGGUAAAAUUCAAAAUCUAAAAUACAGUAAAACUAAACCUAUUUAGUAUUUAUAUCGGAUUCAGUUUAGUUUAGAUAAAAUUUCCGGAUCCAUUCAACCAAUUCAGCAUUUCUGCCUACCUCUGGUUAAAAUGAUUAAUUAAGUUUAAGAAGUUUUGUAAUAAAUGUUCCAAUAAUAGAUACCAAUUGAUGAAAACAAUUAAAUAUCAAAACAUAAAUAUCAUAGAGUAAUAGUAUCGAACAAAGUACAUAAAUAUCAAUGUUAUAGAAUUAUACAAUAUAUAAUUAAGAUCAAAUUAUAACUGUUAUCAUCUCAACUCUAGUAUUACAUGUCAUACCUAUCGAAGACAUAAAGUCCUACAUUCGCAUCUGUCAUUUUUUACUUUGAAUCUAUAAAAUUACCAAGGUUAAACCAAGAGAUAUGUCAUCAGUGUUAUAAAAAUCGGUUUAUACAGCAUUUAGGUGUCCGUCUAGUCGACAAAAAAAUGGUAUACUCGCUUAAAAUACCGGUUUAAGCGUCCACCUAAUCAAUAAUCUCAUAUAAAACCUUUAAUUACCGCUUAUCAAUUUCUUGAACAAUGUAUAUCACUGACUCAUACACAGAGACAGACCCAUGAGUAAGUUUUGAGGGGGUCAUAAACAAAUUUUUACCAGCUCAGCUACUGACUAUUUCUCAAUUUCUUAUACAAAACAACAUUUUAUCAUAUUUUUGUAGUGUCAAGUGACCCACACUCCUCUCAAGUGACCUGUUCGGUUUACCAAACCCGGUGUGGGUUCUCAUUUUACCAAAACCCAUCAUGAUGUAACAAUCUUUACCCGAUUCUCAGUAGCACUUCUUUUGUGUUGCUCAGAAUUCUGUUAUGCGAUGCCAAGUUACUCAAAUGGAUCCAUGUGAUUCUAAAAGAUAAGACUAAUCUAUAGCAUACAAUACAAUGCAAGCUAAAUAGGGAAUCAGCAGAGGGUUUAUUUCCUUCUACAUACAUAAGGCUGCAUCUCCAUCCGUCCACCAACAAUAACCAAACCAGUAUCAACAUGCUUCAAUGUGUAAGUGCUUAUUGAAAUUGCGAUAUUUCCAUGGUGUGCAUUAUCCUCCUGUUCUUCCAUCAACAUGAGUAAGUAGAAGGACUAAGUCACAAUAAUUGAGAAGAGGAUAACAGAAACCUGCAGAUUCAUUUCCUAGAGUUUUUUUUUAAGUUGUGAUCAAAGCAAAGCAGAGACCAACGAGGACAACAUCAAGAAGCAAUUAAGUAACCUUGAUUUUUUGCAUCGUUUCGUAGUAACGAGGACCUCCGUCCCAUUGCCGUUAAGGUCAGCUAUAAUAGGUAGUGGGAGACGAUAGACUUCGUGUUUGAUUGGGUAAUCAUCGUACAAAUGGAACC